UAAUACGUAGGUGGCAAGCGUUAUCCGGAAUCACUGGGUUUAAAGGGUGCGUAGGUGGGUGUUUAAGUGAGUGGUGAAAUCUUCCGGCUUAACCGGAAAAUUGCCAUUCAUACUGGAUACCUUGAGUAUAGUUGAGGUGGGCGGAAUGUGUCAUGUAGCGGUGAAAUGCUUAGAUAUGACACAGAACACCGAUUGCGAAGGCAGCUCACUAACCUAUAACUGACACUGAGGCACGAAAGCGUGGGGAUCAAACAGGAUUAGAUACCCUGGUAGUCCACGCCCUAAACGAUGUUCACUCGACAUUAGCGAUAUACUGUUAGUGUCCAAGCAAAAGCGUUAAGUGAACCACCUGGGGAGUACGCUCGCAAGAGUG
This 373-nucleotide ribosomal RNA is filed under the name uncultured bacterium. Its description in RNAcentral is "bacterial SSU rRNA". It matches the Rfam family "Bacterial small subunit ribosomal RNA", at positions 521 to 896 of the family's 1533-position model. The record is from RNAcentral.